This 468-nucleotide ribosomal RNA is filed under the name uncultured bacterium. RNAcentral's name for it is "partial 16S ribosomal RNA". It matches the Rfam family "Bacterial small subunit ribosomal RNA", at positions 28 to 507 of the family's 1533-position model. The record is from RNAcentral.
GACGAACGCUGGCGGCGUGCUUAACACAUGCAAGUCGAACGGAAAGGCCCUGCUUUUGUGGGGUUCUCGAGUGGCGAACGGGUGAGUAACACGUGAGUAACCUGCCCUUGUCUUUGGGAUAACUUCAGGAAACAGGGGCUAAUACCGGAUAGGAGCUCCUGCUGCACGGGGGGGGAUGGAAAGAUACGGCGGUUGGGGCUGGACUCGCGGCUUAUCAGCUUGUUGGUGGGGUAGUGGCGUACCAAGGCUAUGACGGGUAGCCGGCCUGAGAGGGUGACCGGCCACAUUGGGACUGAGGUACGGCCCAGACUCCUACGGGAGGCAGCAGUGGGGAAUAUUGCGCAAUGGGCGGAAGCCUGAUGCAGCAACGCCGCGUGCGGGAUGACGGCCUUCGGGUUGUAAACCGAUUUCGACUGUGACGAAGCGUGAGUGACGGUAAUGGGUAAAGAAGCCCCGGCUAACUACGUG